AUCAGUUGGUUCUUGAAAGUCAUUCAAUCAAUAUGUUGCUGAUAAAAUUAAUAUUUACUUUUUUAUUUUUUGCCCUAACAUGCAGUUUACCAGCCCUUGUAGUUGAUAACAAUCAACUCGAAUCUAUUUCUGAUGUUAAGGAAGUUGAAAGCAGCUACAAUGCACCACUGCAUAUAAGACACAAACGUCAACGAAAUUGCCCAUUGAGGCCAAUUUUAAUAGGAAAACAAUAUGUGUGGGUUCCAAAAUGCUAAAGGAUUAAAAAGAAAUUAAAUUUUACUAAAAAAAACUUAUUUUUAAGUUUAAAAAUAAAAAAUAAAUGUGAUUUUUUUUAUUUCGAAUCAACGAAAUUUUAUUGUAAAUAUGUAUAUUAAAAUAAAAUAAAGUGCUCCACUAAAUAACACGUACUUACUUGUGAUACAUUUUUCUAA
This is a long non-coding RNA of Episyrphus balteatus (marmalade hoverfly), 431 nucleotides long. RefSeq lists it as uncharacterized. The transcript has 2 exons. The record is from RefSeq and is a predicted model, not a curated record. Lineage: Eukaryota; Metazoa; Arthropoda; Insecta; Diptera; Syrphidae.